AUACCUUUCUCGGCCUUUUGGCUAAGAUCAAGUGUAGUAUCUGUUCUUAUCAGUUUAAUAUCUGAUACGUGGGUCAUCGACCCACAUGAUAUUAAAUUAAUUUUUCUACGGGGAGUUGCCCACAACGGUAGCUUGCUACCGGGGUCCUCGACCGUCGCCAAUGCGUUGCACUACUGCAUGGGCCUGGCGAACCUCAC
Telopea speciosissima is the source of this 197-nucleotide small nuclear RNA. RefSeq annotates it as U2 spliceosomal RNA. The record is from RefSeq and is a predicted model, not a curated record. The transcript has a single exon. Lineage: Eukaryota; Viridiplantae; Streptophyta; Magnoliopsida; Proteales; Proteaceae.